This is a non-coding RNA of Saccoglossus kowalevskii, 101 nucleotides long. RefSeq annotates it as microRNA mir-137. The record is from RefSeq and is marked provisional. Lineage: Eukaryota; Metazoa; Hemichordata; Enteropneusta; Harrimaniidae.
AAGGGAAUCAUGCACGUGCCGGUGACGCGUAUUCUCGGGUUGAUAAUACAUACCUGAUGUUAUUGCUUGAGAAUACACGUAGCUGGUGCCUAGCAACAGCA